GAACAUAGCUCAGUUGAUAGAGCAUGAGACUCCUAAUCUCAGGGUUCUGGGUUCAAGCCCCACAUUGGACA
Podarcis lilfordi (Lilford's wall lizard) is the source of this 71-nucleotide non-coding RNA. NCBI's taxonomy places the organism in Eukaryota, Metazoa, Chordata, Lepidosauria, Squamata, Lacertidae. The record is from the annotation of a GenBank genome assembly.